GGAUGGGUCCCUGCCCUGGCAGACUGACUCCAGACUUCAGCAGAGAGGAGAUAGAAUUGAGUUACAGUGCUUACAGCAUUGCUUCAGCUGAGAUGAAGGCCUGUUUCUGAGAGCACAGGUGGGCAUACUACCUGCUGGUUUCCUGGGCAGGCAAGGGCUACCUCUGGACUACAGCUGAGCAAGUCUGGAACUGGGACAUGGUGGUCUAGUCAGACCACAGUUGGCUGGCCUGCCUCCAGGAGCAUGGAUAUGUGUGUGUCCCUGUCAAUCCCUGGUGAGCAAAACAACUUGUUCCUGGUGUGUGGCUAGGGUGGGGGUUGGAGCCAACUUGUAGGGAUGGAGCUAUUUGAGGCCCUAUUAAGGGACAGAGCUGCCUACUGUCUGCCUCUGUGGAUACAGACAUGACUUCCAGUGGGUCCCUUGUUGGUCAGGGUUGCUCUCAGACUGCAGCUAAGGCAGACAGGGGUUGGGGCUAAAUUACAGGACUGCUUCAGGAUACGCAGUUGAAACUGAGGUUGGCAGGCUAGUCACUCAAGAGUGGGCAUGACCCCUCCUAGAACCCUUGGCAAUGGUGCUGGUAGUAGAACUGAGGCCAAGAGAGCCUGUUGUUCAAUGUGCAGGGAUUCAGGCUGUUACUGGGUCCAUAGCCAGAACAACAUUUGGCAGGCCUGCCAUUUGGAUGUGAACCUGUCCUUUCUAAACGGUGUCCCUCUGUCUUGGAUUCCAUAACCUACAACAUGCAGUUCCAUAAGGGCACUUUCAUUUGUAGAUGGCUGCCAAAUUCUAGCUGCUAUGGGUGGGACAUGAAUAGGUCACUUGUGGUCUACCAUCUUGCUGAUAUUACUCUUCUUUUAUUCCAGAACUGGGGAUUUAACUCUGGUGCUCUAUGACUGAGCUACAAUCUCAUCCAAUUUUACUUUUUAAAAAAUAUUUAUUUUUUUUAGUUGUAGUUGGACACAAUACCUUUGUUUUUAUUUAUUUUUAUGUGAUGCUGAGGAUCGACCCUAGGGCCUUGCACACACUAGGCAAGUGCUGUACCUCUGAGCCACAACCCCGGCCCUCAAUUUUACUUUGUAUUUUGAGAUUAGGGUAUCUUGAAGUUGCCCAGGUUGGCCUCAGACUUGCAAUCCUGCUGUGACAGUUUCCUGAGUAGCUGGGAUUAUAGGCUUGUGCCACUGUGCCUGGCUUCAUAUUACUCUUCUGGAACUACUACUUAUUAGUGGAAAAAUUUCAUUUAGCUUUUAUGAAUAUAUGAAUGGCUAAAUUAAAUGGUUAAAUUAUAUUUUGCAUGCAUUUCUCUGAUGGAGAUGGAGAUAAAAUUUCCUAUACAUUUUAUUUUUUAAUUUGUGUAUAGUUUAAAAAACACCCUAAUUGAACAAACUUAAACUUAUUCUUCCAAUCAACACUUCUCUCUCUCUCUCUCUCUCUCUCUCUCUCUCUCUCUCUCUCUCUCACACACACACACACACACACACACACACACUCACACACACAUCUGCUGUGAGGCUUUGAGUGUACUCACCUGAAAAUGAUCUGUAGGUUCAAUAUUUUUGGUUUGUUAGAGAUGCUAUUUAAAAAAUACCACAAACUGGGCGGCUUAAAAGCAGAAAAUGAUUUUCUCAUCAUUCUGGAAGCUGAAAGCACAAGAUCAGGCAUUGGUAGCUUUCAUUUCUAAGGUCUCUCUCAUAGGUUCACAGAAGGCCACCUUUCUUACUCUGCACUCACAUAGCUUUUUCUCUCUGUGGGUCUCCCUGGUGUGUCUGUCAAAAUUUCCUCUUUUUGUAAGGACAUCAGUCAGAUUGGGUUAGGACCCUCCCUAACAUCCUCAUUCUAACUUAUCCUCCUCUUUAAAAGUGUUCAAAUAUCGUCCCUGUCUGAAGUACUGGGAGCCAGAACUUUAUAACAUUUGAGGGCACAUAAUUUGAAUAUAGCAAAUAUAUAUUUUCUAGUUUUAGCUAUUCUGGCAUUUAUUCUUCUUAGUGUUCUGAGUUUCCUGGACCUGUAGUCUGGUGUCUGACAUUAAUUUAGGGAAAUUUUUAGUCAUUUUGCUUUAACUUAUCAUUAUUAUUAUUCUUAUUUCUGGUGUUACUAGUGAUUGAACCCAGGGCACUGUACCGCUGAGUUACAUCCACAGUCCUUUUAUUAGUUUAUUUUUCAUUUUAAGAUAGUAUCUCCCUCAGUUGUCCAGGCUGUCCUAUGAUGCUUCUGCCUCAUUUUCCUGAGUAGCAGGGAUCAUGAGUGUGUGCCACCACCCCGAGCAAUUUUUAUUAUCAGGCUUUUUUCCCUUUUUCAGUUUUGAAAUUUUCUGCUGAUAUAUUCUCAAGCUUUCUGGUCUUUCCCUUCAUCAAGUUUGGUCUACUGUCAAUCCAAUGAAAGGCAGUUCUUAAUUCUGAUAGAGUAUUUUGACAUCUAGUGUAUCUUUUUGCUUUUUCUUUGACUACUCAUAUCACUGUUUAUAUUAUUCGUCUGUUCUUGCAUGUUGUCUCCUUUUUUGCUUUAGUGUCUUUAGCACAUAUAUCACAGUUAUCUGAAAUUCCUAGUUUGAUAUUUCUAACAUCCCUGCCUAUCUUGGUGUGGCUCUGACACUUGUUCUGUCUCUUCAAUCUCUGCUUUUAGUAUUCAUCAUAAAGAUGGUUGUGACUUAUAGGGUAAGGAACUAAGGCAGAGAUACACUCAGUGAUGUGGUUGUGAGAGGUGGGUGAGGGGAGGGGCAGUACACUGCUGGGAUGAAGUCUCAGGCUUUUAGUGAAACUCUGUCACUGGGUUUGUGUUUUGUAAGAGCUUCCCAGGUUUGUCUUCCUCUCAAGUGGGAUAGGAAGGAUCAGAUGGGCUGGAGUUGGGCAUUUCCUUCUCUCGGAUAGUUGUUUACUUGAAUAAAACCAGGUUUUUAAUUCAUGCAUGCUGAGGUAGAACAUUUACAAAAUCAGACAUAUUAGUUUGCCUCAAAUGAAAUGACUCGUUUUGGGCUGUUUUGCAAACAGAAGGCUCUGCUCAUUGAUGGUAAGGCUGGUGCUUCUGCUUUUGAUUCCGUUCAGAAGGAGGCUCUGGAGUUCCCAAAUUGGCAUCCUCUAAUGAUGUAUUUCUGAGAGGAUCAAAGGUGGAGAAGACUUUUGUAGAGUUUGGAUUCUGAGAAGAAUAGAGAGAAGUGGGGAGGCUAGAAAGAGCACUGAGACUAUAGUUAAAAUGCAAGCAGAUUCUGCAGUAAAAAUAGGCAAAUUCCCCCAUCUCCCCCAUCAAAUCCUUGAAAUGAACACAGCUAUGUUGAGUAUUAGGAAAAAUUAAUAAAUAAUAUAAUUAAUAUUUACUGAAUAUUAUCUCUGGGUGGGGGCCAUCUCAUCUCUAAUACCAACGCUACUCUUCAAGAGAGUAAUUAUUGCUUCAUUUCUUCAGCUCUGGGAAGUUGAGGCCAAGAAAUAGAAAAUGAGCUGGCCAAAGAUAACAGCUUCCCAGCUCUGAGCUGGGAUGUCCACAAGAAAGCCUUUUCAAGGCAGAAUGGCCUGUGGUGCUUGUUGAAAACUCAGGUCCCUGGACCCUAUGCCUCUCAUGUUUGACUCAGUAUUUCCCAGAUGGGACCCAGUGACGCUUAUUUUUAACAAGUUUUUGUGUGAUUCUAAUGGGCAGCCUGAACAUAGCACCUCUCAAGGCAACAGAAACUCUUCAAGCAAGCCAAUGUUCAGGGUUGGAUAGGCCCACUUUAUAAGUGUGAGCAGAUAGACAUGUAGGAGUUUUGCUUGAGAAGCUUAGAGAAAUUGAAGGAAGCAGUCCUGCAGCUCAUCCCCCUGAGACUGUGAUUAGUGGCUGACAUUUUCCAAAGGAACCAGGAAGUAGUGUGGGAAUGGGAGCAGGGUUUAGGGCAUGAGAAAUGCAGGUUCAUGGGGUACAUGGGGUUGCUCCCAGGGAAAGGGAUACUUGGUUACCAAUAUUGCCCUAGUUGGGACUCAGAUGUAUAAGAAAAAAAAAUUGGAUAGAAUGGAUCUAUUUUUCUGUGGACAUUUCCCUGACUUCACACACUGAGAUAAGAUAGCCUUUCUAAUUAACUCUGCCUUUUUGGCCUAAACCCAACUGAGAAUGUACAUUUCAUUUUGUUUGCAAGGAGAUAUGAAAACUGCUAAACUUAGAAGUCAAAGAUGGGAAUAUUUGCUAAUCUGGGUAAACAGAGCUAGACAAAAGAGGUAGACUCAGGAUUCAGAGGUGGCCUUGGGUGGUAUGUGAGUUAGCUUUCCAUCACUGGGACAAAGUACCUGAGAAAAGUUACUUAAAGGGAGAAAAAAAUUAUUUUGAUUCAUAAUUUUAAGAGGUUAAAGUCUGUGGUUACUUGGCCCUAUUGCUUUGGGCCUCUGACAAGUUAGAGCAACAUGGCAGGGAGCAUGUGAUGGGUCAAAACUGCUUACUUCAUGGUGGCCAGAAAUCAGAGUAGGAGAGUUGAGAAAGGGGAUCUGGGACAAAAGUCAAAAUGUACCCUUCAAGGGCAUUCCCCCAAUGACAUAUAUCCUCCAAAUAGGGCCCACCUCCUGAAGUUUCCACCAUCUUCCAAUAGCCCACUAAGUUACAAAUCCGUCAUGAAUCCUCAUAAUUCAUUUAUGACAUCAUAACCCUUAUUAUUGAGUCACCUGCCCAAGGCCCUAGAUCUGAUCAUUGUUGCACUGGGGAACAAGUCUUCAACACAUGGACUUUGAGGAGACAUUUAAGAUUGAUACCAGAGCAUUCCACCUCCAAUCUCCAAAAUCUGAUGUCCACCUUAUUUUGUGACAAUGCAAAUUGUAUUCAGUCCAUUUCCAAGAGUUCCUAUGAAUCGAUAGUUCCAACAUGGUUCAAACAUCCAAGUUCAAAGUAUUCUUUCAAACUCAAGGCAAACUCUCUGAUGUGAACCACAAAGCAAGUUAAAUACUCCCAAGAUACAAUGCACAGGCUAAAUAUCCCCAUAUCCACAGGAAGGACUAGGAAAGUGAUAAGAAGUAAGUAAGACCAGAACCCCAGCAGGGCAAACAUCAAUUCCUGUAGCUCUAUGUUUGGCAUCUGGGUCACAUGGUUGCAUAAUGUGAGCUCUAAAGGACUUCAGCAGCCCUAAUCCCUAUCACCUUGCAAGACAAUCUCUUGGGCUGAUUAUGCAGUCUACCUACAGCUUUUAUUGGUUUUAUGUUCCUGGCAUUUCUAACAUCCUCAGGUCUCUAUUGCAGCUCACUCUUCACUCUUACAGCUUCUCUCAUCACUCUUUUAUUGGCUGUUCUCAAGGAUUCUGACCAUGCCAUGCACUGCCUGGCCUCCAGGGCUUUCCUUUGCUAUUUUGGUGGAAGCCUCCAGGACCCUGUCACUUGUGCUUUCUUCAUGCCUAUAAAAUGAGCACCCUGCAGAAGAUGCCAGGGCAUGCCACUGGCAGGAGUAAUAGCCAGAACCAUUUGGAAAGUGGCUGCAACAGCUACUGAGUUGCCUGGACAGCUGGACCAUGAGGAAUGAAUCCCCAGGAAACAAUUCUCUACACAGCCCUGAGCCGGAAGAGUGCCCUGGGGAUUUCUUCCUAAAACAAAGUCUUUGAAAUGGGUUUAUACUUUAUUACACUUGACUAGGAUGGAGGAGUAUGGCCAGUUCCUGAGAGAUCUUCAAAAGUUCUUUUCUAUAGUUGCAAUUAAAAAUAUUUGGUUUCUCUUUAAUGGAGCUAAUUUCUUAAACAACCACACCCUCCUUGGGCUCAAUCUGAAACCUUCUACUUUCUCUUGCCAAACUGCAAGGUUUAAAAGUCUUUCUGCUCUGUAAACCUGGCUAAAAUCAGCUAGCACUACCCACAUUACUACUGUGCCUGAUCUUAUCUAUUUGUUGUUUCAGAUUACUAGUCCUGGACAUGGAAAUGUAGCUAACAUGUCUGAUUACUAUACCUGGUCUGGUUAGUAUCUUUGGUUCCUGCUCAUUGUAUCUGCAUAUUGUUUCUAUGUCCUGUAGCUGAGCUGUCUGGAAAUUUUCUUCACCAGAUUAUUCUGUGACAUUGCAACUCAGCUUCAUAGAGUUUCCCAACACACAGUUCCUUGCUGGAAUGUAACAUGAAUGAAAAUGCCUCUAUUCCUAUUCCUGAGUCAUUGUUUCCAUUCAGAACACCAUCGGCACAGUCUUUACUCUUGCAUCCCUACCAGCGUUCUGUUCUUUUGAGCCACCACCAGUCACCUAUUAAGCUUCACUCACAGAGUUCUAAGAUUUUUCUAGCCUGCCUCUCCAAAUUUUUCUAAAUUCUUCCUGCAACCCAGUUCCAAAGCUUUCUGACAUACAUGGUCAGAUAAAGUUAGAGCAGUGAUCUUAUUUCUUUGCCAAUGGCUUAGGUUACUGAAUCUGGUCACAGUAUCAGGCGAAUGUCUCUGUUUGUUCUACCUGUCACUGUAUAUGGCUAAUGUCUGUGGUUUUUCUAUCUGGUUCCAGUAUCUCCUUAAUGUCUCUAGUACUGUACCUAGUCCCAAUAGCUUGCUAAUAUCUCUGUUGACUGUACCUGGUUAUGCUAUCUGAUUAUUAUUUCUGUUUACUGUAUAUGGUCCCUGUAAGUGACUAAUGUCUCUGGUAUUAGCAAGACUAAUGUUUUGCAAAUGUCUUUGUUUACUGUACCUGGCCACAAUAACUGACUAAUGUCUCUAGUUACUCUAAGUGGCCAUGUUACCAGGGCAAUGUCUCUGGUUACCAUAUAUGGGUAUUGUCUCUGUUUUCUCUACCUAAUCUUAGUACUUGGCUAAUAUCUCUUGUUCCUGAUCCUGGUUGUGCUCUCUGACUAAUAUCUCUGGUUACUCUACUUGUUCAAGUAUCUAACUAAUGCAUCUGGUUACUCUACCUUGUCCCAGGAUCUGUAUAGUGUCUCAUCUUAUUUUCCUAGUAUUAUUUCCCAGUAUCUAGGGAUUAUCUCUACCAUACCUGAUCAAGGUAUCUGGCUAAUGACUCUAGUUAGUGUACCUUGUCACACAGAACUUGGUUUUGUCUCUGAUUGCUUUAGUAUCUGAUUAUUUCCUCUGGUUACUGUGCCUGACACAGGAAGUAGAAACAGGAAUCAGACUCAAGUCAAAUUCAAGAUGACCCAAACGGCCAUCUGACUAGGUGCUUUAGAGAUGCCCUCUGGAGAUUCUUUAGACAAUAGGCCAGGGAUAUUUGGUGGAGUAGGCAGCCUACUGAUGUACUUGAGAGGGUACUGCACUGAAUUACUAGUUAUAUUGAAUCAGCCUGUCUGAAUAUCUAUGUGUAUUGCAAUCAUCAUCUUCAAUAAAUACCUAGGAGGCAGGUAGCUCCAUGUACGUGUCAGUUUGACCUAUUACUGUGCACUGGGGAGUGAGGCCUCUGAACUCAGGGUGUGAAAGAAGGAGUGAACAAGAUGGCUCACCUUUUCUGGGCCUCAGUUUCCUCCCCUACAAAAGGGAAAUAGAACUACCCAGGUUUCAAUUUGACCUUGAUCUGACCUGUACUUGGCUUACCAUGUGUUCCUGACCUUUUGUGGGUUCACACACUUAGGCUUUCUUGUACCUCCUCCCUCUAGACCCAUUUAUGUCCACAACCUUUGUCCCAGAUAAGCACUCUGUCUAGAGCAUGCUCAUAGAUCCAUCCAGGGCUGGAGGUACCUCCUCUGCUAGUUCAUUUAGAGAGAAAUCUGAUCCUGUUUUCUUUUACUUAUGUUGCUCACUGUCUUUGGAUGGGGGGGCUUCAUGUAUUUUUCACUUAAAACACAUCCUAGUAAGGGAGGAGUCCUUGUGUAUUUUCAUUGUUUGCUUCCUGUAGUUCUUUUGUCCCUAAAUUCCUGCAUGCUUUUCUUCUUUCCUGCCACAGUCUGGCUGGGCACAAAUGCCGCAGUCUGGCUGGGCACAAAAUCACGAGCCACCACACAGCUUGUAGAUUCAAACAGCAACUCUUUAUUCCCAAACUCACACCAGCCGUCUACAAUCACGUUCUGGGGAAAUCCACGUUCUCUGCCCAAAUCCACGUUCUCUGCCCAAAUCCACCUCCACUGGGCUUCUCUCUCCAAAAUAUAUUGUCUGAAUCCCGUGAGAACUCAAGGGGAACUCAGGCAGCAGGAUACGCCCUAUUCCCAGCAGGAAUAAUCUUAAACCUUAAACUUGGAACCUAAACUGGGAACGCCCUAAACACGAUUAUCUUAAAACCGGGAACACCCUAAUCUGCCUUGGUCCUUGAGCAAGGUCACGUACAUUCAAUGUCACUGCAACAUGUCAGCAACAUGGGGUAUGUUGGCAAGGAAAUUGUCAUACCUACUUGGCUAAUGGCUCCCAGCACUUUCCUGCAUAGCUGAUUUUUGUAGUAAAACAUUUGAAUUACCAUCUGUCUCAUUCUCAUCAUGUACAUUAAGUAUUUCUUUGUGGUUCCCAUGGAGCUCUGUUUGACAUGCGAAAGUGAUCUUAUUUAUGUGGAUCAAGAGAAGUGUGAAUUCCAUAAGAUUCUAAAUGCUGUAGUAAGCAGCUCUACCCUGUUCCCACUCAGUUAUGAAUGUCACAAUGUUCCAUGUGCAUGCACCAUGUGCUCAGUAACAUAGACUAAUAAUUGGAUUUUUUUUGUUCAUUAGUCUCUUUAGUCAUGUAGAAAACCAAAGUAGCACUAGAUUUUAUAGUGGUCAUGAAUUUGCCUUUACCAGAGCACUUUCUGUCUUUAUCCAGCUGUAAAAUCCUAUUGAAUGUCUUUCAGUUCAACUCAAAGAAAUCUCCACAUGUCCACUAGUGACCGAGUCCCUUAUCCCUUGUUUAUCCAACGUUGUAGUUCAAUUUUAUGUGUGUCCCUCCAAAGAUCCUGUUGAAAGAUCAAUCCAAAGGUAAAAGUAUUGGGAGACAUGGGCCUGAUGAGGUGGUCAGGCCAUGAGGCUCAGACAUUAUGAGCAGAUGUGUGCCUUUAGAAAAGAAUCCUUGUGUAGCAUGCAUGAGGCUGUGAAUUGGUCCCCAGCAAAACACACACACACACACACAUACAUACACACACAUACACACACAAACUCGUACAGAUAUGAGCACGCUUAUUAAGCCAGGAAUGGUGAUGCACAUCUGUAAUAUUGAUACUGGUGAUGAGAAUCAGGGCCAAGUCUUGUUCCCCUGAUAUAAAUAUUGAACACCUGAGAAAUGCUGAGACAGUGUAGAAGGCAAGUUUUAUUUAAAGGAUAAAAUAGAGACAGACUUCUACAAAGAGAAGGGGACCCAGAGCUGGGUGUCUGAGGAAGUGGGGGUGUCCUGCCCCUUUUGUACAUUUUACAUUUUCUUUGCUCUCAUGCUCUCUCCUCCCUGCAUUCUGCCCAUGUGACCCAAAAUGUGGAGUGAUCCAAGGGUAGAAAUUAAGCCACCCAGGGGUACAGAUAUGAAGGGAGUGGUUGGGGAAGCAUUCAUUAACACCUGUUUGUAGAAAGGAACAAUUCUAUGAAAGCAGGUAACAUUGGCAACAGGUUGAGGAGGAGGGGAAGGGAUUCAGAGGUAUUAGCAUUUUAUUCCCUUUCGUUUUGAACCAGCCCCCAUAGUCCCAAACUGACUCAAUUAUUUGUUACCUACAUGGACUACCCUUUACUCCCCAGACUCAAUCCCAGCUACUCUGGAGCCUGAGGCAAUAGAAUACAAUCUCAAGGCCAGUCUGGUAACUUAGUGAGACCCAGUCUCAAAAUGUAAUAAAAAGAGCUGGGAGGGAGCUCAGUGGUUGUAGUGGUUAAUUUGAAUUGUCAAUUUGAUCAAUAAAGAGAUGUCAAAGAUUAAGAGGCUUCUGGGUGUUUCUAGGAUGAUUGGAAAGUGGGGUAGUGAACUGAAGUGGAUACACUCCUUUAGUGUGCGCAGCACCAUCCAAUAAAUUGGAAGAUAGGAUGGAAUAAAGGUUGGAAGAACAAGAAAGCAACAGCAGAUACAAACUCAAUUCUUCUGGAAUGGGUUCUUGAUUUCUUCUGUGAUUGCCUGAGGACCUCAGACCUCUUCUCUUCACUCUUACAAAGCAGACUAAUGAUUCUUCAGGGAGUUUCCAGAAACCUUCAGUCUUGAACUAGGAUAGCAUCAUUGAUCCCUCUUGUUCUGAGGCUUCAGCAUUUUGGACUGUGUAGCUACUGGUUCCUCCAUCUCUCCAACCUGCAUACAGCCUUGUGGACUAUCCAGCUUCUGGUUGUGUAAGC
RNAcentral lists this long non-coding RNA (10096 nucleotides) under Marmota monax (woodchuck). Lineage: Eukaryota; Metazoa; Chordata; Mammalia; Rodentia; Sciuridae. The record is from RNAcentral.